Molecule: ribosomal RNA, 208 nt
Filed under: uncultured bacterium
Lineage: Bacteria
Description: partial 16S ribosomal RNA
Rfam family: Bacterial small subunit ribosomal RNA
Source: RNAcentral
CACGUAGGCGGAUCGUUUAGUCGAGGGUGAAAUCCCGGGGCUCGACCCCGGAACUGCCUUCGAUACUGGCGAUCUUGAGUCCGAGAGAGGUGAGUGGAACUCCGAGUGUAGAGGUGAAAUUCGUAGAUAUUCGGAAGAACACCAGUGGCGAAGGCGGCUCACUGGCUCGGUACUGACGCUGAGGUGCGAAAGCGUGGGGAAGCAAACA